AACGCACAUUGCGCCCACUGGUAUUCCGGUGGGCAUGCCUGUUCGAGCGUCAUUAUCCUCCCUCAAACCCCGGGUUUGGUGUUGGACCCACGUUGUGAGUGAACAACUGGUCCCAAAGACAAUGACGGCGUCCGUGGGACCCUCGGUGCAACGAGCUUUCCGGAGCACGCGUCGAGUUUCAAGGUUCUUCCGGGCCGGUCUCCUUCUAUUUUACUUCUAAGGUUGACCUCGGAUCAGGUAGGAAUACCCGCUGAACUUAA
This 260-nucleotide unclassified non-coding RNA is filed under the name Epithamnolia sp. RNAcentral's name for it is "partial contains 5.8S ribosomal RNA, internal transcribed spacer 2, and large subunit ribosomal RNA". The stretch from base 1 to 52 matches the Rfam family "5.8S ribosomal RNA", at positions 103 to 154 of the family's 154-position model. The record is from RNAcentral. Lineage: Eukaryota; Fungi; Ascomycota; Leotiomycetes; Phacidiales.